AUCCGAAGGGUGCAAGCGUUAAUCGGAAUUACUGGGCGUAAAGCGCGCGUAGGUGGUUCGUUAAGUUGGAUGUGAAAGCCCCGGGCUCAACCUGGGAACUGCAUCCAAAACUGGCGAGCUAGAGUAUAGCAGCGGGUGGUGGAAUUUCCUGUGUAGCGGUGAAAUGCGUAGAUAUAGGAAGGAACACCAGUGGCGAAGGCGACCACCUGGGCUAAUACUGACACUGAGGUGCGAAAGCGUGGGGAGCAAACAGGAUUAGAUCCCCUGGUAGUCCACGCCGUAAACGAUGUCGACUAGCCGUUGGGAUCCUUGAGAUCUUAGUGGCGCAGCUAACGCAUUAAGUCGACCGCCUGGGGAGUACGGCCGCAAGGUUAAAACUCAAAUGAAUUGACGGGG
RNAcentral lists this ribosomal RNA (396 nucleotides) under uncultured bacterium. RNAcentral describes it as "partial 16S ribosomal RNA". It matches the Rfam family "Bacterial small subunit ribosomal RNA", at positions 523 to 918 of the family's 1533-position model. The record is from RNAcentral.